GGGAUGACACAGUAGGAUAAGCUAAGCACACUGUUGGUUAUGUGUGCCCAAGCAUUGAGGCAGUCAAAGUAGGCAAAUCCGCUUUGAUAAUGCUGGGAUGUGAUGGGGAGCGAAAUUUAGUAGCGAAGUAGCUGAUUUCACACUGUCAAGAAAAGUCUCUAUCGAGGUUAAAGGUACCCGUACCGCAAACCGACACAGGUGGGUGAGGAGAGUAUCCUAAGGCCAGCGAGAGAACUGUUGUUAAGGAACUCGGCAAAAUGACCCCGUAACUUAGGGAUAAGGGGUGCCACCAUCAGGUGGCCGCAGAGAAUAGGCCCAAGCGACUGUUUACCAAAAACAUAGGUUUCUGCUAAGUCGCAAGACGAUGUAUAGGAGCUGACGCCUGCCCGGUGCUGGAAGGUUAAGGGGAUCUGUUAGAGCAAUCGAAGCAGUGAACUUAAGCCCCAGUAAACGGCGGCCGUAACUAUAACGGUCCUAAGGUAGCGAAAUUCCUUGUCGGGUAAGUUCCGACCCGCACGAAAGGCGUAACGAUUUGGGCACUGUCUCAACAACAGACUCGGUGAAAUUGUAAUUCCGGUGAAGAUGCCGGAUACCUGCGACAGGACGGAAAGACCCCAUGGAGCUUUACUGUAGCUUGACAUUGGGUCUUGGUACUACAUGUACAGGAUAGGUGGGAGGCUUUGAAACCAGGACGCCAGUUUUGGCGGAGCCAUCCUUGGGAUACCACCCUUGUAGUACUGGGACUCUAACCAUAGGCCAUGAAUCUGGUCUUGGGACACUGUCAGGUGGGCAGUUUGACUGGGGCGGUCGCCUCCCAAAAGGUAACGGAGGCGCUCAAAGGUUCUCUCAGUACGGUCGGAAAUCGUACGUAGAGUGUAAAGGCAAAAGAGAGCUUGAUUGCAAGACAUACAGGUCGAGCAAGGAUGAAAAUCGGACUUAGUGAUCCGGUGGUUCUGCGUGGAAGGGCCAUCGCUCAACGGAUAAAAGCUACCCUGGGGAUAACAGGCUUAUCUCCCCCAAGAGUCCACAUCGACGGGGAGGUUUGGCACCUCGAUGUCGGCUCAUCACAUCCUGGGGCUGUAGUAGGUCCCAAGGGUUGGGCUGUUCGCCCAUUAAAGUGGUACGCGAGCUGGGUUCAGAACGUCGUGAGACAGUUCGGUCCCUAUCCGUCGCAGGCGUAGGAAAUUUGAGAAGACCUGUCCUUAGUACGAGAGGACCGGGAUGGACG
RNAcentral lists this ribosomal RNA (1228 nucleotides) under Clostridioides difficile. RNAcentral describes it as "partial 23S ribosomal RNA". It matches the Rfam family "Bacterial large subunit ribosomal RNA", at positions 1466 to 2703 of the family's 2925-position model. The record is from RNAcentral. Lineage: Bacteria; Bacillati; Bacillota; Clostridia; Peptostreptococcales; Peptostreptococcaceae.